UACAGAGGGUGCAAGCGUUGUUCGGAAUUAUUGGGCGUAAAGGGCGUGUAGGCGGUUUGUUAAGUCUUCUGUGAAAUCUACGGGCUUAGCCUGUAAAGUGCAGAGGAAACUAGCAGGCUUGAGUGUCGGAGAGGAGAGGGGAAUACCCGGUGUAGAGGUGAAAUUCGUAGAGAUCGGGUGGAACACCAGUGGCGAAGGCGCCUCUCUGGCUGACAACUGACGCUGAGACUCGAAAGCAUGGGGAGCAAACAGG
RNAcentral lists this ribosomal RNA (253 nucleotides) under uncultured bacterium. RNAcentral describes it as "partial 16S ribosomal RNA". It matches the Rfam family "Bacterial small subunit ribosomal RNA", at positions 524 to 776 of the family's 1533-position model. The record is from RNAcentral.